UAAAGCGUGCGCAGGCGGUUGUGUAAGUCAGAUGUGAAAUCCCCGGGCUCAACCUGGGAAUUGCAUUUGAGACUGCACGGCUAGAGUGUGUCAGAGGGGGGUAGAAUUCCACGUGUAGCAGUGAAAUGCGUAGAUAUGUGGAGGAAUACCGAUGGCGAAGGCAGCCCCCUGGGAUAACACUGACGCUCAUGCACGAAAGCGUGGGGAGCAAACAGGAUUAGAUACCCUGU
This 230-nucleotide ribosomal RNA is filed under the name uncultured bacterium. Its description in RNAcentral is "partial 16S ribosomal RNA". It matches the Rfam family "Bacterial small subunit ribosomal RNA", at positions 561 to 790 of the family's 1533-position model. The record is from RNAcentral.